This 301-nucleotide ribosomal RNA is filed under the name uncultured bacterium. RNAcentral describes it as "partial 16S ribosomal RNA". It matches the Rfam family "Bacterial small subunit ribosomal RNA", at positions 509 to 809 of the family's 1533-position model. The record is from RNAcentral.
CAGCCGCCGCGGGAAUACAGAGGGUGCGAGCGUUAAUCGGAUUUACUGGGCGUAAAGCGUGCGUAGGCGGCUUCUUAAGUCGGAUGUGAAAUCCCUGAGCUUAACUUAGGAAUUGCAUUCGAUACUGGGAAGCUAGAGUAUGGGAGAGGAUGGUAGAAUUCCAGGUGUAGCGGUGAAAUGCGUAGAGAUCUGGAGGAAUACCGAUGGCGAAGGCAGCCAUCUGGCCUAAUACUGACGCUGAGGUACGAAAGCAUGGGGAGCAAACAGGAUUAGAUACCCCAGUAGUCCCUGUCUCUUAUAU